Molecule: long non-coding RNA, 149 nt
Organism: Octopus sinensis (East Asian common octopus)
Lineage: Eukaryota; Metazoa; Mollusca; Cephalopoda; Octopoda; Octopodidae
Exons: 4
Source: RefSeq, a predicted model, not a curated record
AUUUGAACCAGCUCGCAAUAUAUAGAAAAAAAACCCCCCAUCAAUCACUGAUUUUGUGAGAAGCAAAGUAGCUAGUUAGAAAAAUCUCAAUAAGAGAUGAAGCUGUAACCAUACUAAGAAGUAAUAUUUAUCGUCACAUCAAUAUAGCG